GCAACAGCUAGAGUUUGAUCCUGGCUCAGGAUGAACGCUGGCGGCGUGCUUAACACAUGCAAGUCGAGCGAAGCGGUAAGGACGGAAUCCUUCGGGAGGAAGAUUUUACUGACUUAGCGGCGGACGGGUGAGUAACGCGUGGGUAACCUGCCUCAUACAGGGGGAUAACAGUUAGAAAUGACUGCUAAUACCGCAUAAGCGCACAGGACCGCAUGGUCCGGUGUGAAAAACUCCGGUGGUAUGAGAUGGACCCGCGUUAGAUUAGCUUGUUGGUGGGGUAAUGGCCUACCAAGGCGACGAUCUAUAGCCGACCUGAGAGGGUGAUCGGCCACAUUGGGACUGAGACACGGCCCAAACUCCUACGGGAGGCAGCAGUGGGGAAUAUUGCACAAUGGGGGAAACCCUGAUGCAGCGACGCCGCGUGAAGGAGGAAGUAUUUCGGUAUGUAAACUUCUAUCAGCAGGAAAGAAAAUGACGGUACCUGACUAAGAAGCCCCGGCUAACUACGUGCC
RNAcentral lists this ribosomal RNA (512 nucleotides) under uncultured bacterium. Its description in RNAcentral is "bacterial SSU rRNA". It matches the Rfam family "Bacterial small subunit ribosomal RNA", at positions 1 to 509 of the family's 1533-position model. The record is from RNAcentral.